CUAGUUGGUGAGGUAAAGGCUUACCAAGGCGACGAUCAGUAGCUGGUCUGAGAGGACGACCACCCACACUGGGACUGAGACACGGCCCAGACUCCUACGGGAGGCAGCAGUGGGGAAUUUUGGACAAUGGGGGAAACCCUGAUCCAGCCAUGCCGCGUGAGUGAAGAAGGCCUUCGGGUUGUAAAGCUCUUUCAGCCGGAACGAAACGGUCACGGCUAAUACCUGUGACUACUGACGGUACCGGAAGAAGAAGCACCGGCUAACUACGUGCCAGCAGCCGCGGUAAUUCUUAGGGUGCGAGCGUUAAUCGGAAUUACUGGGCGUAAAGCGUGCGCAGGCGGUUUUGUAAGUCAGAUGUGAAAUCCCCGGGCUUAACCUGGGAACUGCGUUUGAAACUACAAGGCUAGAAGGG
This 412-nucleotide ribosomal RNA is filed under the name uncultured beta proteobacterium. RNAcentral describes it as "bacterial SSU rRNA". It matches the Rfam family "Bacterial small subunit ribosomal RNA", at positions 245 to 649 of the family's 1533-position model. The record is from RNAcentral. Lineage: Bacteria; Pseudomonadati; Pseudomonadota; Betaproteobacteria.